RNAcentral lists this non-coding RNA (27 nucleotides) under Homo sapiens (human). Lineage: Eukaryota; Metazoa; Chordata; Mammalia; Primates; Hominidae. The record is from RNAcentral.
CCUGCCUGUCUGUACGUGUGUACUGGU